Long non-coding RNA from Suricata suricatta (meerkat), 637 nucleotides. RefSeq lists it as uncharacterized. The transcript has 4 exons. NCBI's taxonomy places the organism in Eukaryota, Metazoa, Chordata, Mammalia, Carnivora, Herpestidae. The record is from RefSeq and is a predicted model, not a curated record.
CCUGCCUCUGGGCCAGGAUGCCUAGCAAAGGGACCUUUCUCUCUCUUUCCAGGGUCACAUACUGGAGAGAAGGAGAGACUUCUUAUCUGCACUGACCGGGAGCCGACAAUUUGUGGCUGCCUUCCAACGGAUGUGUGACUCCAAGCACUUUGGCCAUGUGGAGCCCCAUUUUCCUUAUCUGCAAAAUGUAGCAAGUAAUCUUCAACCCGGCAGAGGACUUGAGAUAAUGUGUGUCAACAGUGAACGUUUCAUAGGGAAAACUUAUGAAAUGCUUUGAAAUGGACCAAAGGAUUAUUGGAUGUCUUGAAUGGAAAUUGAGGUCUUCAACACACCUGUUGUGUCAUAAAGAAUUUGGCUGGUAUUUGCCUCUGGUUCCUGAAAAGGAGUCUUCAAGCCCUUGGAAUAAUCCAAGUGCAUGUGAAGACACGGAGAGAGUUUCGUCAUUACCAGCCAGGAGGGACAGGCCAGUGGUGCAAUGGAUAACGCGUUGGACUAUGGAUCAGAAGAUUCCAUUACCAGCCAGGAAGUGGGCUCUCAUCAAAUACCAACUCUACCAGCGUGUUAGUCUUCCCAGCCUGCCUACCCUCCCCAGCCUACAGACUGAGAUCACUGUGAUAAAUAAAUGUUUAUGGUUUAA